CCUACGGGAGGCAGCAGUGGGGGAUAUUGCACAAUGGGGGGAACCCUGAUGCAGCGACGCCGCGUGGGUGAAGGAGUAUUUCGGUAUGUAAAGCCCUAUCGGCAGGGAAGAAAUUGGACGGUACCUGACUAAGAAGCCCCGGCUAACUACGUGCCAGCAGCCGCGGUAAUACGUAGGGGGCAAGCGUUAUCCGGAUUCACUGGGUGUAAAGGGAGCGUAGACGGCCAUGCAAGCCAGGGGGGAAAGCCCGGGGCCCAACCCCGGGACUGCCCUUGGAACUGCAUGGCUGGAGUGCGGGAGGGGCAGGCGGAAUUCCUGGUGAAGCGGUGAAAUGCGUAGAUAUCAGGAGGAACACCGGCGGCGAAGGCGGCCUGCUGGACCGCGACUGACGUUGAGGCUCGAAAGCGUGGGGAGCGAACAGGAUUAGAUACCCUGGUAGUC
RNAcentral lists this ribosomal RNA (441 nucleotides) under uncultured bacterium. RNAcentral describes it as "partial 16S ribosomal RNA". It matches the Rfam family "Bacterial small subunit ribosomal RNA", at positions 338 to 795 of the family's 1533-position model. The record is from RNAcentral.